This is a long non-coding RNA of Notolabrus celidotus (New Zealand spotty), 864 nucleotides long. RefSeq lists it as uncharacterized. The transcript has 2 exons. The record is from RefSeq and is a predicted model, not a curated record. Lineage: Eukaryota; Metazoa; Chordata; Actinopteri; Labriformes; Labridae.
GGAGCAGAGGCAAGGAGAGUGGAAAAUUACUGACAGAGGGGAGGAGGUGAGCAGACUGUGACAAUGUGGGAGUAUCAUGCAUUGUACAGGAUGGGUGGACACCCUGCAGCAUCCAGAGAGGAUGGAAGCACCACUGGUGUCAGUUUGCAGGAUACUGAGCUGGGCCUGACAUGUUGACCAACCGCAGACCAAGAGUGUGCUGUCAGAUUUGGAUCAUCUAAGCUGUACUGGUUCAGGUCCAGCUUUGGUCCAGGCCCUGCCAAACCCCCAGAUUCUAAAUCAGUCCGCUCAGGGUCAGAGCACGUAAUCUGCAGCCAGAGGCCAUGACCAAACAAACGUGGUUACAUACUCCAGUGAGCAGGAUGAGGUGCUGAAGCAGCACUCUUCAUGUCUCCUAAAGUAAACCUCCAUCCAUGAGCUCACUCACCGUCGUGGUCAGCCUAAUUAAACCGUGCAGCUGUGGAUUAUUUAGAGACCAGAAAUAGCCUCUCAUCUGCAGCCACUUCUCAUUAAUGACUGUAAUGAUAUAUGAAAGGCGGGUGGGGCUGUUGGCAUCAUUUUCUUCUUUGUGGUUUUGUUUAAUACAUUCUGAUUAGCUUGCUGGAUUAAGAUUUAAUCUUUCUGGUGCCACAAGAAUCACAAGAAAGACUCUUAGAUAUUCUACCUUGUUUCCAAAACAGGUAUAAAGUGACACCAUAUGAAGAUCUGCAAAACAUUGAGUCCCCUCAAUAGAAUAAAGACCCCAAAUAUGAGAUGUUGAAAGACUGGAAAGUUGUGGAAUAGCAAAAGAAAACACGCUUGAAGCAUCUCACAGUAAAUUAUGUUAACAGGUUAUUAACAUGACUAUAAAGAGACCAUCCAACA